GACGAACGCUGGCGGCGUGCCUAAUACAUGCAAGUCGAACGCUUCUUUCCUCCCGAGUGCUUGCACUCAAUUGGAAAGAGGAGUGGCGGACGGGUGAGUAACACGUGGGUAACCUACCCAUCAGAGGGGGAUAACACUUGGAAACAGGUGCUAAUACCGCAUAACAGUUUAUGCCGCAUGGCAUAAGAGUGCAAGGCGCUUUCGGGUGUCGUUGAUGGAUGGACCCGCGGUGCAUUAGCUAGUUGGUGAGGUAACGGCUCACCAAGGCCACGAUGCAUAGCCGACCUGAGAGGGUGAUCGGCCACACUGGGACUGAGACACGGCCCAGACUCCUACGGGAGGCAGCAGUAGGGAAUCUUCGGCAAUGGACGAAAGUCUGACCGAGCAACGCCGCGUGAGUGAAGAAGGUUUUCGGAUCGUAAAACUCUGUUGUUAGAGAAGAACAAGGACGUUAGUAACUGAACGUCCCCUGACGGUAUCUAACCAGAAAGCCACGGCUAACUACGUG
This 508-nucleotide ribosomal RNA is filed under the name uncultured bacterium. RNAcentral's name for it is "partial 16S ribosomal RNA". It matches the Rfam family "Bacterial small subunit ribosomal RNA", at positions 28 to 507 of the family's 1533-position model. The record is from RNAcentral.